AAAGGGACCAAUGGAGGCAGGUUAUGGAAAGGGGAACAGUUAAAUUUGUAAUUUUGGUUGUGUGAAACACUUCUUUGGGCCUCAUAAACAACCACAGAACCACAAGUUGGGUACAGAGGCAGUCACACAAGAGCGGGUCCGGGAUAUUGGUCAGCAGGCAGGGCAAAUCGCUUUGACUGCAAACCACAGUUUCGUAGAGUGGUAGAAGAAAUCAUAUAUUCCUUCACUGUAAAGAGAAAGUGAGUUUUAAAGAGGAAACAAUGGCUUCAAACAGCGUAUUUGAUUCACUUCCUUCUUACCAGCACUUCUUGAGAGGUAAGUGCCAUUCAUACUUUCUAAAUAUUCUUUUCGCUAUCCCAUACAUAAGCAAAUGCAUGUCUGGAGAGAAUUUGAGGACUUUCUUGUAGUACAUGCUUUUUCCUACUUCAAUUUUCUUCAAGGCGUUCUUGUUCAAGCUAGUAUAUGAGCUUGUAGGAAUACCACCUUAUUACUUAUCAUCCAUUAAGGAGAUUAUAACAUGGACUCAUUUAAGCUGUUUAAACAGGCAUCGCAUGCUUGUGAAUUUUCUCUUCAUAAAUCAAAGUCUGUUCGAGGAGCUCAUAUGAAUUAAAGCAGAUACAAUAGCAGUAGCACAAGCCUCUUUUGAUUCCUUUUGGCAGAAUUAUGACUUUUUGAGCCACUGCCGUGAAAAAUGACAGCCAGCUGCAUACGACACCCAUUACAGGCUGCACCGCCGCGAGCGAGCAGCAGGCUCGUGCCGGCAGCCAGCAGAGCGUGAUGCUGGCUCACUUACACUGUGCUGUCAGCCUGGGUGAAGGCACACUCGCUGGGGAGAAGCUGGGAAAGCUCAGAAACCUGCUUAAAGUUGGCUGCAACUCACACGGCUCUGGAGAAGCAAUGUGGGUAAAUUCAGGGUUUCUGUUGAUGCCACGCAGGUCCCUGAUGACUGUGAAUUAUUGGCUGCAACCAAUCCUAGAGAAAUGAAGUAGUCCUGUAAGGGCUGGGGAGGGGAUUGGAGUGCAGCCCCCCAGCAAUCUGACUUGUUUCACUGUGACCGAGCAUAUUCAGAGGCUUGCUCAGUCAUGGGUUAUUCAUUUGAGCGAGCCCGGGACUGGCACGAGAAACUUGUUCACUUUCUUGUAACUGCCUUCCCAAAUAGCACAUGAUGCAGCUGAACUUUUCCCCUUCCAUGCACACCCUCUGAGUAUCCGAGCCCCUUCUGCAGUGCCGUGCCUGCCGGAUGACAGCGUGCAGACGGUUCAUCAAACUUGGCCAGCACGCCGCGAUACAGCAGCGCUGUGUAGCUCUUUAUAACUGCAGACUACAGCUUCCCGGCCUUGCCGCUGCUGUCAGCGUGAGUCACGCGUUAUUCCUAUUAAUAUGCGAGUUGGGAAUGCGGAAGGCUCGCCCCUGCUGCUGUGUCACAGCAACUCUGUGAACCCUGAGCUGCUCCCACUGACCGCUGUGGGAUGAGGGCAAGGUGCCAAAGCGCCCACCAUCUCUCUUUGCUUUCUUUUCUUCUUUUUGUCCCCCUCCUGCGAUGAAAGUUUUUCUGCGUCUCUCUUUCCUGGCGCCAGCGGGGAGCUGAACACAGUGAGCUGUGUGAGUCAGGCAGGCUCACAGCAUCCUGGCUUGCAGCAUCACCCAGCCUGCAAGGGGAGAUGCCGGAGGCUUGGCAGGAGGCAGCUGGCUGCUCCCAGCACUCACCGUGCUAAUGUUUUGCCAGCUCUGCUUCCAAGCAAAGGAAGCAAUACUGUUAGAAUAGCAAGAAGGAUCUUCCUGCAUUUUGUCAGCUUUUUUUGGUGUGGUUUUGUUGUUGUUGUUGUUGUUGUUUUUUAAGUCACCCAACUGUUUGCUGUUUAAUCUGUAGUACAGGAAGACUUUUUGAGGAAAUUCUGUCCUUCUGAUAAAAAAUAGCAAGCCUCAUGGGGCAGCACUUGCAGCAUGCCAGAAUACAGCCAGCUCGUGGGAUGGGCUGGGGACAGUUGAGGCUAUCUUGAUGGCAGGAGCCCCUUAAAGUGCAGGGGAGCAACUGCAUGGAGACCAAGGGCUGAUUCUUUCUUGUCUAGGUUUGCUAAGGCUGGUUAGUCCAGCCAGUGGUUUACCUCAGUGCUUCACUAUAGGCUUUAUUAUCUUUUUCAGUACUGCUUGCACUCUUAUUGUUAAUACUGCAGUAAUUUGUACUCCUUCAUGGACAAGGUCCCCAUUAUAUUAGAUACUUUAAGUUACAGAUCCUGGUAGGUAUCCAGCACAAGCGAGGUGAAACUGCAGCUGUUCAGUGCAGGAAGAGCUUGGGCAAGAGCGUUUUGGUUGGGUUAUAAAGCAAAUGCCUCAUCAUUGUGAAAGAAUAUUGCGUUUUAACAUGGAAAGCUGCAACGUUCCUUUUUUGUUCCUGUCUUUGCUCAAAUGAACUUCAGAAAAUUUCAAAAUUCUGGGGACAACAAGAGCAAUGCUUGGGUCUCGGAGUAAGAAAAAUAAUCAUCCCCAGGACAGAUUGUUCUCAGCCAUAUUUCUCAACAGUGUUUACACAGACUGGCCAUUAGAAAUGUCCCAAACCAUCUCUCCUUUUUUUCCCGCCAAAAUUUAUUACACUUUCGCCUUUAACUGAAAUUAUGAGGUAAAGGGAAAAGUGACUUGCAUUCUGCCAUGGAUUUCACUUUAUCAGCCCAUGCAGUUCUCUGAGAAGGAAAUCCAUUACUUUUUUUUUAGCGUGGUGCUAUGUGAAAAUUGGGAAAAAAGAAAGGGAAUGGGGAAGCAGAACAAUUGUUCCAGCCCCUGUGAGCAAUGAUAGACGUAGAAAGCCUGACAUAUUAAUUGAAUGUGGUACACCACAAAGGAUAUGGCCCUCUUUCUAUCACACCACACCAGGUCCUUGCUUCUGCCACUAGGUAAAGAAAUGAGGAUUGCACUGAAACCUCCAGUGAUGUGCUCUGCAUGCUGAACGCAUUUACAUGUUUACCAGCUCUGCUUUUAAUGAUGGCCUCAUUUUCCUAAUAUCCUCUUUCAGUUUAUGGCCUGGGCUGCAUGAUAGGAGUACAAAAUGAGAGCCUUUUUAUGGUUGUUUUGUUGUUCUAGUACAGCCCUCAAUAAAACAUCACUUGAUCCCUUUCUCAAACCUGGGUUUGUAUCAGCAAGGCUGCCAUUUCAACUCGUACACAAGCAUGGUUUGUAGGACGAGGACAGAUUUGCUGGCUUUACUAGGGGCUGGGUAUGAUUUCGUGUGUAUGGACUGGGUCACAGAAAUGGUAUCUUUUGGGUAGGAGGACCAAAACAAGACCCAUUGGAGAGUCUUGUGUUAAAGAGUGCAUGUUUCAUUUCUAAAAGAGGCCUAGUUAAUUACAUGAUACCACUAACCCCAUAAUGUCCUUGUUUUUCUUAGGGGCAUUAGGCUGUUCUGUAAGGUUUCCUAACAAUUUUGCCUGCAAAAGAAGACAGCAUAAUUAGUCCUUUUACAAAAACAUUGUUGUUGUUUUUUUUUUUUUUAUGGGGUUCUAAAUAUUAUGAAGCAUAAUAUUUUCCAGGAAGGCACUUUCCUCAUUUUCCCUUUCGCUACGAGGUCUAAUUAUUUCAGUAUGCAAAGAAGGUUGCUCCUGGUUUUGCCUUUGUAGUAUUUUUUGUUGAUUAAUCAAGGCAGUGAAGCUCUGUGGUGCAACAUUUUCUUGGUUUCUUAUCAAAUGGAAAUAAAUUCCAGCAGAGCACUUUUACAGCAUGGAAAAACACACCACGUGUGCUUUAUUCUUAGUUUUAACACUGUAGUGACCAACCAUCGUGUGUCUCCUUGUUUGCACACGCUAAGUAAAAACAUUGCAAGAAGCUCCUCCUGCUUGGAAGGGCUUCUGUGCCUGGUUCUGUGGACACUGGUAUACAAGCGCAUUGUUUCUCAUUGCCCUUUAGUUGCUCUAACUUAUGGGAUUUAUGGGAAUCUUAUAGGAUUUAUGAAGGUAGGUUGUUCACAAAGCCCCUAGCACUAUAUGUGAGUUAGGAAAAUGAGCUAUCCAGAAGCUCCCUGCUAUUCGGGUCUGGCUCUGCAGGUUCAACAUCCUAGAGUUGGUGCUUAUCUGCAGAGGGUGCUGGUGCAUCCACUCUAUGACGAGUGUUCCCAGUGUCAGCUUUUGUGUGGUCCUAGUGGGACAUCAAGCACUGCAGAAAGACAUCCUCUGCAAGUACAACUUGUGUCCCCAGAUCUAGGUGUGUGACAUUGGCAGAAGUAAUCAUGCUAGAACCGGCUCUGUGAAAAACAAGUUCUUCUGAGAGAUGCACAGUACUCAGCAGCACCAUGUGCUAGGAAAGGCUUUUUUUUUCCCUCACCCAGGAAAAGAAAUGGCUCUUUUAGCAACAGCAUAGUCUAGGUUGUGACUGUGUAGAGAGAGAGCUUUCCCAAUCCAUUUGCAGACUGCUUGAACCGUUGCAUAGAGUCAAUUUGUGCCAGCAUUAUAAAAUACUAACUGUGUCUUGUGAAUGGGAAAUUGAACUAAAGCUCAUAAAAACCUCGGCUUACUGGAAGAAAAAACAUGAAUGUUGUCAGAUUUACACAGCCUUCUCUGAGACUUUUUCACUCAAAACCUUUGAGAAGCACUGAGAGACCCAAACACAGGAAUUCCUGUCAAGCAUGUAGUGGGGUGAAGUACCUGACAGAGAUGAAUACAUUGCUUCAGUAAGAUCAAGAGAUUUUAUCUAAAGCCAAAAUACUGAACUUUAUGUUUAACCAAUCACACUCAGCUUAGUGAUGGACUGUGAUGUCAUUCUCAGCAUGAACUCAGGAUCAGAGUUGGCUUGCAGAUACCUGGGAUUGGCAUGCCCAAAUGUGACCUUUUUCCACCAAUGGAAAAAACUCACCCCGCUGUGUGACCCCACUACACACAGCAGAACCCUGCUGGUCCCAGCAGCUGCACUCCUGGAGGGGCUGCCUGAGGUCUGGGCAGGAUAUUGGGACCAGGUCCUCUCAUGUGGUUGUGGAGCACGGAAGUGAGAUGCAGAGCAGGUUCAAGAGCAAAGGGAAAUGCCUCUUGCUAGUGCUCUUGUAGAAGCUGCCAGCUAUGGUGCCUCCUUAAGGGAUAACAUGAGGUUGCUCACCCCUGUGACAAGGUAUGGAAAUCCGUCUUCCUCCUACAAAUGACAAGGGCUUGUACACUGAAAGCAGCCAUGGCACAUGCCCCACAUAGCUAGUAAGACCUCUGUCAAAUGCUUGUGCUAACAGGUGGGAGAGGUAUGGCACCGUGCCUUGGGAGAGCUCAAGAAAGUUUGCACCAGGGAUGUGAUGCUGACAUGUUCUGUACUUUUGCAGAUUGCAGUGUGCAAAUAUGUCUUUACUCAGUUGUUGUUUUUGUUUGUUGGGUUUUUUUCCAAAUUUUAUUUAUUUGGUUUGUUUGUUUGUUUUUGUUUGUUUGUUUGUUGUUGUUGUUGUUUUUUUCCUAAAACAACUGUAGCAGCCAGCUCACCUGUUCCUAUUCCUUUCUCUAUGCUCUGUCAAUGGAGCAAUGUAGGGUAGAUUUUUUUUUUAAUGGUGGAUGAUUACAGCCUAGAACUCAUUGUCAUGCGAUGCCAUUAAAAACAAGAGUUUAUUGGGAUCCAUGAAUCAGCUAUAAUCCAUAAUCUUAAAAACAGAUAACAGUUUCUUGAGAUGUACCAUCCAGGUAAACAGUUAAUCUCUGCCUUCAUCUCUCACUGCCGUAUUUCAGAGCACAAACCAUUCUCUGCUAAAGCUCGGAGAGAAAGCUUCGCAUGUAAGCUGGUCUGUCAUCUGCAAAAUGAAUUGUGGCUUCCUCCAAAACAUCUGGUACUGGCUGAGGGGAGAGACAGGCCACAGGCAAGGUGACUCACUGGUCUGAGAGAGGGAUAAGAAAAUAUUACAGUACCUUUGUUACCUCCUCUGUCAUCUUAAGAGAAUGGAUAAUAUAUGAAUAAAGUUGAGUCAGCUUCCCAAAUAAUAGAAGAGCAGUCUGGAUAUCUCCUCAACGAAGCGUAUUGAUGAACUGGGCUGGGUGACCACUGAAGUUUAAAUCAGCGGAGCACCUGUAAAGGUCUGCAGUAACUUGGUGAAGUCCAUGAAAGCACUGACAUAUUCACAGUGACACUGCCUGCAGGGCAUAUUAUUCUUGCUGCCAGUGGAAACAAGGCUAGAAAUUAAAAACAUGGAUUGACAAUGUAAUCAAUUUUCAAUUUUCUUCCUCUUAGGUCCCAGCAGACGGUAAGGCAUUAGUGACCAAGAUACACCUUAGUCUGAAAUGCUGAAUUGUCUGUAAAGAUGUGUCCAGACAAUUUAAACAAGGGAAGAAAAGAAAGGGCAUAGAAGACCUGGCUGGGAAAGCAGAGCAGCAGAAAGAGCCAGUAGGAGCUACCUGGUAGUGUUUCCAAUUCAUCCUUAAUGCUGUCCGCAGGGCUCACCACUUCUGCUUGCAAGUGAAACUCUGUGAAAUUGGGUAGUUUCACUUCACAAAGAUCUGUGAGAACAUUUUCUCCGCCUUUGAUCUGUCUUGGCUUUUCAGCCUGCGCUUUUUGUUUUGAGUUUCUGAUUCCAGUGAACCCAAAAGCAGCCUGAAUCAGGGGCUAGGGGCUUUUUCUUUUGCCUUCUGAGUAUUUGCUCUUGCAGAGUGCUUUCUGUUGGCUGGUUUCACGCUGAAGCUGUGAUACUGAGACGUGCUAAGAAGCUGCCCUUUGGUAGAGUUUUGGCUGCCAGUUGAAAAUCUCAACUCUCAUACAAAUCUUUUCCAUCAGUGCAGCAUGAGGGAACUCACAACCUGACAGUUUGGAUGUGAUUUGCUAUAAACAUUUCACUCAGCUGUACUAAGGGAAAAUCUUGCAAUCCUUGUCAAGCCAGUGCUAUCGAGAGGCACUGGAAUGCCUGUGAAAUGCCUUUUUUUGCAUUCAGACAAGAAAGAAGCCCAUUUGUGAAAUAUUUGAAUAUUGGGGGUAAAGGACCACAGAUGAGCAUCCAUAUCCCUUCUGGCAAAAGUCUUGCACUUCCCCAGUCCUGCAUGCAGCUCUCAUAAGUGCCUUUUCAAGCUGACUUUGUGGCAUUUACCUGCAUCAUGCCAAGCGGGAAUAUCCCAGGGCGUAUACAGAAGCCUUGAACAAGCACUGAGGGAUGCAGAGCUCAGUCACCACUGUUGAAGCACCCUGCAUUGUUCUCACCUUCAGCAAAUGCAUGUACUGUGUGCAAGCCGAGCAGCUGGAACAGGGCAUCACAGGCUGCACAGGGGACAGAUGAGCCUCCUUGCCUAUCAGCACUUGAUUCUCUUUAUGUACGUGCUGUGGUACCAAAAGGUAGUGGAAGGCAGUCUGGCACAGCGAAAUGAAAGCUUCCCUCCAUCUCAUGCGGUGACACCGGUAGAUGCAAGUCGCUGCCAGCAAACCCUCGGAUGUGUAAGUGUGUUCAGUGCUGGUGUGCGGGGGUGGCAGGUGCACCUCCAAUUGUCACUACUGUUAUUAGCCACGUGGAGAGGUUCAAGGCAGCACCACUUUACUCCCACUUGCCUGCAGCUGCGCUUCCACCCGUCUCCAUACGCAUGGCCAGAAGCAAAAAGCGGUGCUUGGGAUAGCAUCCUGCUUCCUCCCAAUGGCAGUGGCAGUGACAAAAUGGCCACCAGUUGUGAAGGGCUGGGUCUGUCCUCCCAAGAGCAAAGACUAAUAUAAGAAUGAAGUCAUGAAUAAGACAGGAGGUGAACUCUGAAUGCCAUUGCUGACCUAGGGGCUAAAUUAAACAUUGCUUUGAGGUGCAGGUGUAAUUUAUGAGACUCCACUUAGCAGAACUGUGACUACAGAAAGUUUUUGUCUCUUUUACCUUGGAAAUAUUGGUGUGUAACAAUGGUUUAUGGCCUAUUAUGUGUGGCUGUGGAAGGAACUUUGUGUCAGCUGGAAGCCUUUUUCUGGUUGGUGGCUGUUGGUUUGCACAUAGCAUGUAUGGCAGGGGUGUAAGAAUGGAUAGGCGGUGCAUUCCCUCUUGAAGUAAGGAGAGCCUCUGAAAGAAGCACUCUAGUGGGACAGGACUUACACGUGUAACCACAGCUUGGGAAAGCAACUCUGAAAAUCCUUUUUCCAUAGGAGGCAGUGAGGAGGAGGUCUCACCUAUGUGGUCAGUCAGCCUCCAUGGCUGCUGACCGUUUGUUAGCAUUGCACAUCAUUUUUUGCUGGUACAAGCGCGUGUACUUCACCCAGUUAGUAGGAAGUACAAUUUAUUUUACAACACAGUUACUAGAUAAUAUCAGAUUUCUGUAAAAUGCUUCUGUUUUUCAGGACCUAUGUGUAAAUGAGCUCAGGGUUUUGCAUGGGCUGGGUGUAACAGAAUUCAUGGCUAGAAGGUACAUCCAAGUUAAGACUUUGUUAACCUCAUUUGCAUGGGGGUCAGUGAGUGAAUCAGUUGUUGCAAUGCAGGGUAGUUUAAUUGCUUUUCUAUGUUCUGCACAUUCUGCACAUGCACCACACACUUUGCAAAGAAAUUCAUUGGUACUUUGUCCAUCUCUGUGGAGGUCAUGCUGUAUCGUGUGGGGUCCUCCAACAAGCUGUUAGCAUCUGCAGGUGGACCACAAGACUCAGGUCUUCCACUCAAACACAAGAUUAUUCUGCCUGUACUUGCCUGCGCUGGAUAAAAAUGGUUUGCUUUCCUCAAUGAAAUGUGCUAUUUUGACUGCACUGUGUUGCGCUGUUGUGGAACCUAAGGAAUUACUUGCUUGGAUGAAAGGAAAAAAUGAUAGAGUAAACCUCUUAAGCUUCGAAGUGCUGAAAUAAACCACUGACGUUUUAUUGUAACAGUCAGAACUUUUAUUGCUGUGUUUUAUUUUAAUAGGGAUUGCAAAAGAAAAGGUCAUUUUUUUUACAGUUUCCUACACAGUCCAAACAAUUUCAAGUACUACUUUUGAAGGGUGGUAUUAUUUGUACUGAUAUUUUCAAGUCCAUCUGUUUUACACUAUGCAACAGCAAAGCUCCAGUAGUCCUGAAGUGCUCCUUUCUGUAAUGCAUAGAAAUAAACUUUGCCAGCAUUAACACUUUUAUACCAAUCUAAGUCUCUUUCCAUUUGGAAUAGCGCCCUGCUAUAACCAGACCUGUACCAACAUAAAGCAGGAUUUGUGGCUCCCCUGUGGGUUGAAGUUAUGUCAGCAGACAGGCACCUAUAUGAAUAAGGGUGACUUAGGUUCAUGUUUUAAUGGGAAAAGUAAAGAAUGCCGGUAAACAGUUUUUAAGCACCAAUUUUUUGUGAAUUAUUCUCUUCCCAUCAGACAAUUUCUCACUGAGCCUUUGCUUAUUUCUCCAGCAAGUCUUUCUCAGCCCUGUUAAUGACCAGUCCCUUAUAUCCCAAAUGCCUUACAGGAGUAACACUGCUUCUGAUGGGACAGCCAAGACAGCUAAGUGAGUUUCUUUUCUUAGUUCCUUUCUGCCUUGAAACCUUAGCACGUUCAGAUCUAAGCCCUUCUUUUUGCAAGGCCUUGCUGGAUUUUUUUUUCCUGUGGCAUUAAAGAAUGCCUUAUUUGAAAACUGCUGUUCAAAGAGGGAUUGAAAUCAGAUUUAGGAAAAUAACUUAUAUAAAAGUAUUAGCUGUCCUAUUUUAGGAGAUAAUUGGCUGUAGCAUAGUUUCCCUCUCUUAUUUCUUCCUGGUGAGAAAACAACCUACCUUGUCAUUGAGGUUUUUAUAAAAUGCUGCUGUUUGCAACAUUCACCAUGAGCACAUUAACCCAAACAUUUCUAGUGCAUGACUUACUUUGCUAACUCUGCUCCUAGCCUUCCUUUUGGCAUACAGACACCAAAAUGUCUUCAGUUAUCGCAAAACGGAGGAGGAAAAAAAGUUGGAUCAUGUAUUUGAUUGCCAAGGAGUAUAGAUACAAAAAAAAAAAAGAAAAAAAAAAAAAGAAAACUAAAAACCA
Meleagris gallopavo (turkey) is the source of this 9854-nucleotide non-coding RNA. The record is from RefSeq and is a predicted model, not a curated record. NCBI's taxonomy places the organism in Eukaryota, Metazoa, Chordata, Aves, Galliformes, Phasianidae.